Molecule: long non-coding RNA, 612 nt
Filed under: Ananas comosus (pineapple)
Lineage: Eukaryota; Viridiplantae; Streptophyta; Magnoliopsida; Poales; Bromeliaceae
Description: long non-coding RNA (ACOM_LNC040331)
Source: RNAcentral
GAGAGGAAGAAGAUGAGGCUCCUUUAAUCCAAAAGCUUCUUCUUCACCUUCUUCUCCUUCUUUGUCUUCCUUUCUUUCCUUCUUCUUCUUCUCCUUCUUUAUCUUCUAGAGAGAGAAAGAGAGGAGAGAGUGUGUGAGGUUGAGGAAAUGAGAGAAAAUCUCAUUAACCCUCAAUACAUAGCUAUUGGGUUGCACAAUUGCAGCUAAACCCCUCAACUUUCAACUCUGUGCACUGCCUGGACUGGGCAGAUUUCGGGCUCGGGGACCGGUCUCCCCGACUAGGGACCGGUCUCCGAGAGCUCUCCCAGCGCAGCCAGAGCUGCUGCGCGCGACGCAUCCGGUCCCUCCUUGGGGGACCGGUCUCUCGGGGACCGGUCUCUCAUACAGGGAUCGGUUCCCGAGAGCUACUUUCUCAGGACUUAGCCGAUUUUUCGGCUGUCUGAUUUCAUACGCGUUCGGGGACCGGUCUCUCCCACCAGGGACCGGUCCCCGAGAGCUGAAAAUCUGCAGUUUUGCAGAAUUCAAUUCUUUAGCUCUCGAAAACCUUCCACAACUCACCUUUAAUCAUUUUAACACCUUCGGACUUUCCGAAGUGUUCCAUCCUCGCACUUU